UCUGACACAGUAUCCAAACGCCUCCCGAGUAUUCUCCAUCACCGCAUUAUGACCUGAAUGAAACAACUCUGGUAGCAACCAAUCCCCACAAAUGGAAAUUAGCACCAGCAAACCCCUUAGCUUUCUCUCAUCAAAUUCACAAACUUCAUCAACUUUCCAAGAUUUCAAUACCCUCUUCAACAAUCUUAACACCACCCUCUUAUCCACCAGCACCUCAUCCCUCCGUCGCCUCACAAAUACCCCAUGUAAAGCAGAGAAAAUAAAAAAUGGUCAAAAUUUCAGCCCAAAAAGGAUUCUUCAAUUUUCAUCGACUUCAAUCUCCAUUCAACCUGAAAUCAAAAACCCAGAAAACCCCACUUCUCGAAUUUGGCUAAAACCAGCCUCAAGAGGCUCUCCCCAAGUCUACGCCCUGUUCAAGAAUCUCUCUGUUUUGGAAAAAGCCCUCAUGGGUGCUGCUGGUGGAGGCAUUGCUGGUGCAUUCACUUAUGUCUGCCUCCAUCCUCUUGACACAAUCAAGACUAAGCUCCAGACAAAGGGGGCAUCAGAAAUUUAUAGUGGUACAGUUGAUGCCAUUGUUAAGACCUUCAAAACCAGGGGAAUUUUGGGGUUCUAUAGUGGAGUUUCUGCGGUGAUUGUUGGUUCUACGGCUUCUUCUGCUGUGUAUUUUGGGACAUGUGAGUUUGGAAAGUCAGUUUUGUCGAAAAUCCCUCAAUAUCCAGCUGUUUUGAUACCCCCUACUGCUGGGGCUAUGGGGAAUAUUGUUUCAUCAGCUAUAAUGGUACCUAAGGAAUUAAUUACUCAGAGGAUGCAAACUGGUGCAAAGGGGAGGUCUUGGGAGGUUUUAUUGAAAAUUUUGAAAAAAGAUGGAAUUUUGGGAUUGUAUGCUGGAUAUAGUGCUACAUUGCUGAGAAAUUUGCCUGCUGGGGUGUUGAAUUAUUCAUCGUUUGAGUAUCUUAAAGCUGCGGUAUUGAAUAGUACUCAUCAGGUUCAUUUGGAGCCAUUUCAGAGUGUCUGUUGUGGUGCAUUGGCUGGAGCCAUAUCAGCUUCACUGACAACUCCUUUGGAUGUGGUUAAGACAAGAUUGAUGACUCAGGUUCAUGGGGAGGCUGUGAAUAAGGUUGCAGCUGUAAUGUAUAGUGGUGUCUCAGCUACUGUUAAACAGAUUUUGAAGGAAGAAGGCUGGAUAGGGUUUACACGAGGAAUGGGGCCUAGAGUUGUUCAUAGUGCCUGUUUUUCUGCAAUUGGUUACUUUGCCUUUGAGACAGCUAGGCUCACAAUUUUGCAUCAGUAUUUGAAGCAGAAGGAGCUUCAGAACAUGGCUCUUGAUUCUUCAUCCACGGUCAAUCAGAGUGAAUAAAGUGGCAACGAGGUGCUUUGCAAGUGCAUCUGGGUUAUGGUGAUAUGCAAGGCUCAGGAAGGCCAAAAGCUAAGACGAAAAGUAGUGUUAGGCGGUCUUUUAUUGUUUUUGGUGGGUAAAAGAAGUUCAUUAAUUGAAAAACCAAAGGCAGUGUAACAUUUGACGGAUCAACAGCAAGAAGGGCAACAUGUGUGAUGUGGUGGUAGAGACAAAAAUUGAGGUGGAGCUACCCACUGUAGCAAUCUUAAGUGGCUGCCUCAAGAUGGGACUUGGCUGAGUUGCAGUUUGAUACAAAUUCUUGUUAUCCCAGUUGUUUCCUCCAAUAUAAAACUCCAGCUACCUCUGUUGAACUCAAAUGCUGAAGUUCUUGGAUUCAUUUGGUUGCUUUUCUUGGAUGAUGAUGAAGUUCCUCUGAAAGUCUUUUGACACCUGAAAAUGUUCUUAAACUAAGCUUUUGUUUGUCAUAAGCAUUUCAAACAAUUUGUUGUAUCCAUCACAAUUCCCCAUAUGACCCUUAAUUUACAGCAGCUCGUACAAACUGAACGCCUACUAGAGAGACAGGAAGACGGAAUUCUAAUUGUUCUUGAGUUAAUGAUUAUGUCUUCUAUCAGGGAAAAAAAAUGUGUUCGUCCUCGCAUCCUUUAUGUAUGGAAAAAUCUGUAAUAAUCUUGUCCUUGGAUUGGAUUUCCUUCAAGCAAUCUGGUUUCUGCU
Molecule: RNA transcript, 2068 nt
Organism: Coffea arabica (coffee)
Lineage: Eukaryota; Viridiplantae; Streptophyta; Magnoliopsida; Gentianales; Rubiaceae
Gene name: protein MITOFERRINLIKE 1, chloroplastic
Source: RefSeq, a predicted model, not a curated record